AUUGAACGCUGGCGGCAGGCCUAACACAUGCAAGUCGAGCGGAUGAAGGGAGCUUGCUCCUGGAUUCAGCGGCGGACGGGUGAGUAAUGCCUAGGAAUCUGCCUGGUAGUGGGGGAUAAUGUCCGGAAACGGGCGCUAAUACCGCAUACGUCCUGAGGGAGAAAGUGGGGGAUCUUCGGACCUCACGCUAUCAGAUGAGCCUAGGUCGGAUUAGCUAGUUGGUGGGGUAAAGGCCUACCAAGGCGACGAUCCGUAACUGGACUGAGAGGAUGAUCAGUCACACUGGAACGGAGACACGGUCCAGACUCCUACGAGAGGCAGCAGUGGGGAAUAGUAGACGAUAGGCGAAAGCCUGAUCCAGCCAUGCCGCGUGUGUGAAGAAGGUCUUCGGAUUGUAAAGCACUUUAAGUUGGGAGGAAGGGCAGUAAGUUAAUACCUUGCUGUUUUGACGUUACCAACAGAAGAAGCACCGGCUAACUUCGUG
This 484-nucleotide ribosomal RNA is filed under the name uncultured bacterium. RNAcentral describes it as "partial 16S ribosomal RNA". It matches the Rfam family "Bacterial small subunit ribosomal RNA", at positions 30 to 507 of the family's 1533-position model. The record is from RNAcentral.